RNAcentral lists this ribosomal RNA (379 nucleotides) under uncultured cyanobacterium. RNAcentral describes it as "bacterial SSU rRNA". It matches the Rfam family "Bacterial small subunit ribosomal RNA", at positions 376 to 770 of the family's 1533-position model. The record is from RNAcentral. Lineage: Bacteria; Bacillati; Cyanobacteriota.
CGAAAGCCUGACGGAGCAACGCCGCGUGAGGGAUGAAGGCCUCUGGGCUGUAAACCUCUUUUAUCAAGGAAGAAGAUCUGACGGUACUUGAUGAAUAAGCCACGGCUAAUUCCGUGCCAGCAGCCGCGGUAAUACGGGAGUGGCAAGCGUUAUCCGGAAUUAUUAGGCGUAAAGCGUCCGCAGGCGGUCUGUCAAGUCUGCUGUUAAAGCGUGGAGCUUAACUCCAUUUCGGCAGUGGAAACUGACAGACUAGAGUGUGGUAGGGGCAGAGGGAAUUCCCGGUGUAGCGGUGAAAUGCGUAGAUAUCGGGAAGAACACCAGUGGCGAAGGCGCUCUGCUGGGCCAUAACUGACGCUCAUGGACGAAAGCCAGGGGAGCG